GUCGUCAGCUCGUGUCGUGAGAUGUUGGUUAAGUCCGCAACGAGCGCAACCCUUGUCUUAAUUGCCAGCAUUCAGUUGGGCACUUUAAAGAGACUGCCGGUGUUAAGCCGGAGGAAGGUGGGGAUGACGUCAAGUCCUCAUGGCCUUUAUGCCCAGGGCUACACACGUGCUACAAUGGGUGGUACAAAGAGAUGCCAACUCGCGAGAGCGCGCCAAUCUCAGAAAGCCAUCCUCAGUUCGGAUUGGAGUCUGCAACUCGACUCCAUGAAGUUGGAAUCGCUAGUAAUCGCGGAUCAGCACGCCGCGGUGAAUACGUUCCCGGGCCUU
This 327-nucleotide ribosomal RNA is filed under the name uncultured Smithella sp. RNAcentral's name for it is "bacterial SSU rRNA". It matches the Rfam family "Bacterial small subunit ribosomal RNA", at positions 1051 to 1382 of the family's 1533-position model. Lineage: Bacteria; Pseudomonadati; Thermodesulfobacteriota; Syntrophia; Syntrophales; Smithellaceae. The record is from RNAcentral.